Molecule: transfer RNA, 68 nt
Filed under: Primula valentiniana
Lineage: Eukaryota; Viridiplantae; Streptophyta; Magnoliopsida; Ericales; Primulaceae
Description: tRNA-Ile
Source: RNAcentral
GGGCUUUUAGCUCAGUGGUAGAGCGCGCCCCUUGGGCUGUGAGGGCUCUCAGCCACAUGGAUAGUUCA